GCAUACAUACAUCCCCUCCUUCUUGAGCCUCCUUCCCACCCACAGCCCCAUCCAACCUGUCUAGGUCAUCACGGAGCACGGAGCUGAGCUCCCUGUGCUGCACAGCAGCUUCCUGCUAGCUAACUGUUUUACACGUGGUCGUAUUACAUGCUGAUGUUGUUGUCUGAGAUUGUUACUACAUGCCAUGAGACGAGAGUACACUAAUGCUCACACUGGGCAUCUGUUUGAGCAUCAGUGUGCUCUGAGCACACUGAUUGUUAACUGAGCAAAUGGGAUCUUCUUAAGACUCAGUUUGGGUAAUGCAUACCUAGGGCGGCCACCCGAGUGCCAGGUACAGGGGACAAAGUGGUUAGUAAAAGCAGACCUAGGCUCGACCCUGUGCUCAUGAUGAUGACAGUCUAGUGGGGGAAACCAGCAUUAACCAAGUAAGCACAUGCUGGAAGUAAAAUGACAACAGGAGAAAGUGCGUGCAGGAGAGGACUGUGGUUCCACCUGGGGAUUUGCCCCUCUGUGUGACUGAAGGAGAAAUGAAGGAUGCAGGGCAUUAACCAAGCCAGAGGCCCUGAGCCGGGGGGGGGGCGGGCAUUUUCUAGAGGUGGGGAGAAACCAGUGUGGCCAGCGCUCUGCGGGGGAGGUCUUGUGGGGGUCUGAUGGAGAAGACAGGGGAGCCACUGAAAUUUCCCUUCCCCGUGACUUGGUGCAGCUAUCACCUGGGUGGGACUGGGGGGUGCCAUGUAGGAGGUCAGUGUCUGCAGAAGGCGAGCUCCCGUUCCUGACCCGGGUGCAGGAGGUCUCCGUGGACUGGGCGCACAGAGUAACAAGCACAUGCUGGCUGCCUGGGGGCAGUCCUGCAUUUCUUGCUGCCGUGUCUGAAGCCUUGACCUGUGGGGGCCAUCAGCUCUCCAUGCAGACAGAAGGACAUGGCUGCCUGCUGAGAAACUCGUGCUGGGGCCUCCAGCUGCUGACUUACUUCACAAUUUAGAUUCUUCUUGCUCCUGUUUGCUCUGGAAUAAAGAACUUGUUGAUUAUGUCUCCCUGGGGACUAAUAGUCUCCUGAAUUUCAUGUUACGUGGAGUGGGAAGCAGGACAGCAUCAGUUAGCAAAUAGCAAUGCCUUCUGUGUGAUCAAAAUGUACUCCGUAAAUAUUUACUGAGUGACGUUUGGGACACUGGAGGUAGAGGGGGUGAACAAGAUAGCCGGGACCCCUGCUCCUUCUCAGUUCUCCUUUGGUGGGAGAGAGGACGGAUUGGGGUGGGACAGACAAGGCUGGAGAGACUGAGGGCUAUGAGAGGUUCGGGGGUGAGUGCUGGCUAAGGUGAGACCCAGAGGAGGAUGUAUUAAGAGGGUGAGGUCAGGAAAAAGAGAACAGGAGAGGGGACACAGAUCUAGAGGAAGGAGACUGCGGCUCAGUCACCUUCCUGGAGCAGGACUGGCCAGGGCACUGAGAUUUCCACUUCUUCUGGCUCUCUGGAAGAUGCUUCCUCGGACUUUGGCAGGGGUCCUGAGCAGUUUUGGUCACAGUCAUCUAAUGCAAUUGUAUUUUCUUCUUCUGAGCACAUCAGGUCCCAGACACACGAAACCUGGCUGUGUUCCUCAACUACUGCCAGUAUGAGGGGAUGGCCACACUGCGAUGUCACAGGAAGUAAUCACUACAAACUCCUGGAGCACAUGUCCAUCUGAGAAGCCUUUGUGUGGAUGCCCUGAGCCCGGCACCAAAGAACUGAUAGAACUGCAGUCACAGGGACAGCUUUUUUCAUUUGAUGAGAGGGAUGGGGGUGGUGGGAAUAUAUCGGCUGCAGUGACCUUUCACGGUAGGCAGAGACGUGCUGGUGCUGAAACAAUUAUCUCAAGUGCCCGUGGGUACCAGCUUCCUGUUGAUAACAUGUGGUGCUAAUUACCUUGAAGCAUUCAGGGCAGAUGUUGGUGCUUGGAAUGAACAGGCCAGCAGAAGGGCCGCGCCUGGCUCAGGACCAGGGGUUCAAGUACUGCCCAUGUGGUCAGGAGAUUGCAGCAGUGCUGUGGAUCCUUGAUGACCACGAUUUUACUGAAAGAGAGUGAUGGUGGCAAGUCUGAUGAUAUUUCCCUUUACCCUAUGGGGCCACUGUUACUGGAAAGUCCCCUCCCCCACCAGGUCCAUGAAGAUGGGGACAGUACCUGUUUCGUUCAUCUCUACACCUUAGUUCCCGACGGAAGCCAAGCACACAGGGGAGCUCAGGGCUUCCCAGGUGGCUCAGUGAUAAAGAUCUGCCUGCCAAUACAGGAAAUGCAGGAGAUGCGGGUCUGAUCCCUCAGUCAGGAAGACCCCCUGGAGAAGAGAAUGGCCACCUCCUCCAGUAUUCUUGCCUGGAGAAUUCCAUGGACAGAGCUGCCUGGCGGGCUGUAGUCCAUAGAGUCACAAAGAGUCGAACACAACUGAGCAACAAAGCAUGCACACAUGUCUCCUUAAUAAACUUUCAUAAAAACUGCCAAACGUGAUGUUCAGAGGGCUUCUGGGUUGGUGAAUGCACUGAGGUACCAGGAGGUGGUACGCCUGGAGAGGGCAUGGAAGCUCUGUGCCCCUUGCCCCAUCCUUGCCCUAUGUACCUCUUCCAUUUGGCUGUUCCUGGAUUGAAUCCUUUAUAAU
Bos taurus (domestic cattle) is the source of this 2623-nucleotide long non-coding RNA. The record is from Ensembl. Lineage: Eukaryota; Metazoa; Chordata; Mammalia; Artiodactyla; Bovidae.